AUUGAACGCUGGCGGAAUGCUUUACACAUGCAAGUCGAGCGGCAGCACGGACUUCGGUCUGGUGGCGGGUGGCGAACGGGUGAGUAAUACAUCGGAACGUGCCCAGUCGUGGGGGAUAACGUAGUGAAAAUUACGCUAAUACCGCAUACGAUCUAUGGAUGAAAGCGGGGGAUCGCAAGACCUCGCGCGAUUGGGGCGGCCGAUAUCAGAUUAGGUAGUUGGUGAGGUAAAGGCUCACCAAGCCAACGAUCUGUAGCUGGUCUGAGAGGACGACCAGCCACACUGGAACUGAGACACGGUCCAGACUCCUACGGGAGGCAGCAGUGGGGAAUUUUGGACAAUGGACGCAAGUCUGAUCCAGCCAUUCCGCGUGCAGGACGAAGGCCUUCGGGUUGUAAACUGCUUUUGUACAGAACGAAAAGGUUUCUAUUAAUACUAGGGGCUCAUGACGGUACUGUAAGAAUAAGCACCGGCUAACUACGUGCCAGCCGCCGCGGUAA
Molecule: ribosomal RNA, 500 nt
Filed under: uncultured bacterium
Lineage: Bacteria
Description: partial 16S ribosomal RNA
Rfam family: Bacterial small subunit ribosomal RNA
Source: RNAcentral